This is a long non-coding RNA of Sphaerodactylus townsendi, 1325 nucleotides long. RefSeq lists it as uncharacterized. The transcript has 4 exons. Lineage: Eukaryota; Metazoa; Chordata; Lepidosauria; Squamata; Sphaerodactylidae. The record is from RefSeq and is a predicted model, not a curated record.
UCCUUAACAUUUACACGCUGCUUGCAAGAAUUUGAACGAAGUGCUUUCUGUACACUACCUAUGCAAUCUUAGCCACAGACUUAUCAGUUUUGCUAUCCUCACAUUGCAGACAAGACGCUAACCCUUCUCAGAUGUUCACUUUGGUGCUCUGGUCAUGGGAGCGAGAACUGCGCACAGUCUUCCCAAUAUGCAGUUGUCCUGUUGUGUGAACAGGGAAACAAACCUGUUUUCUAUUUGCACAUAUCUAAGGAUGGAUCCCGAAUAGUUGCCUUACGCCUUACUUUCUGUCAGUCUGAUCAUUGCUUUACCAGCAUGGCAGCUGGGCCUGUAUCUCCAUGUGGAAGGAGGAACAGCCAUGGCAUGAAUAAAAUUUCUGGAUAAAAGUGCUGCUAGUGUCUUUGUUCUGUGAGAUGGCAAGAGUGUGCAGAUGGUUCUUUUCUGGAGCCAUUGAGCUGCUUGAUAAGUUCUAAUUGGGGGCAUUGCUACCUGCACCUUCUGCAACCUCUUCGUUCAAUGCCUGCGUCUUGAUGGAUCCACCCUGGCCAACUCCAUCUCCAUCUUCGGCCUCCUUGUAUUCUGUAUAAAAUUCUACUGCUGGACCUACAUCUAGAAAAAAAAAGCAAGGAGAAUUGUGGUGAAGGAAGCGCAAGCAACAUUUGUGCAUCUGCUGCUGGGAUGUGGACUUCCUUUGCACCUGACGGGGUGCCUGGAACGGUGAGGGCGGACGCCACAUGCUUUUUCUCGGUUGCUUUGCGGAUGUCUUGCUGGAACUGGAAAUGAAGGGGACAGAUGGCUUUGGAAAUUUGCACUGAGGAACUGAACCUUUUGUUUGUCGGACAUUCCUGAAAUGCAACUCCCAUCCUGUGGGUAGGCUGAUAUAGUGUGUGAUAGACCAUACGGUUGUAGUUCCCUAGAUUCCAAACAGUGUCACGACUUACUGCUUGUUUGCUCAGCAGAAUGGGAGCAGGACAGUGGUCAGUGUUGGGUUUUUACUUGGAAAUCUGAAGUUUGCGCCUCUUUUUGGCUUACCUGACACUUAUCCCCCAAUCUUUGUAGCUUUGUAGCACAAACAUUUAUUUCAUCCAGGCUUUUCACUGAGGCGUUCUAUCUUUUUUGGUUUUGUAUAGUCUGCUUCUGGUUUGUCGUCUGUUUUAUGAAUAAUUUUUACUGUUCUGAGCAAUUGUUUUAUGCUGUUUUUAUGGCUUCUUUUGUAUCUAUUUUUUAAUCUAUCAUUUAUGACAUUUUUGAUGAUGGCUUGACUUGUAAGCUGCUUCGAGCAGAACUCUGGAAAGCAGCAUAUACAUUCCCUAAAUAAAUAAAUACAU